GGGAAUCUUCCACAAUGGGCGAAAGCCUGAUGGAGCAACGCCGCGUGGGUGAAGAAGGUCUUCGGAUCGUAAAACUCUGUUGUUAGAGAAGAACAAGGAUGAGAGUAGAACGUUCAUCCCUUGACGGUAUCUAACCAGAAAGCCACGGCUAACUACGUGCCAGCAGCCGCGGUAAUACGUAGGUGGCAAGCGUUAUCCGGAUUUAUUGGGCGUAAAGGGAACGCAGGCGGUCUUUUAAGUCUGAUGUGAAAGCCUUCGGCUUAACCGGAGUAGUGCAUUGGAAACUGGGAGACUUGAGUGCAGAAGAGGAGAGUGGAACUCCAUGUGUAGCGGUGAAAUGCGUAGAUAUAUGGAGGAACACCAGUGGCGAAAGCGGCUCUCUGGUCUGUAACUGACGCUGAGGUUCGAAAGCGUGGGUAGCA
Molecule: ribosomal RNA, 422 nt
Filed under: uncultured bacterium
Lineage: Bacteria
Description: bacterial SSU rRNA
Rfam family: Bacterial small subunit ribosomal RNA
Source: RNAcentral